Long non-coding RNA from Sardina pilchardus (European sardine), 612 nucleotides. RefSeq lists it as uncharacterized. Lineage: Eukaryota; Metazoa; Chordata; Actinopteri; Clupeiformes; Clupeidae. The record is from RefSeq and is a predicted model, not a curated record. The transcript is spliced from 4 exons.
GUUUCCUUCUGUUGAAAGAUUGUCUCUGAAAAAAGGAAAACUCUAGAGCUUUCUCCAAAAGGUGGACCGCACCGGUAGCCAUGAUUGUGGAUCAAAGUGGCCAAAUCCAGAGGUUCUCGGUGAGUUAAGUAUGGUGACAUUGUCUCCUGAAGACAAAGAGAGAGACAGAGGACACAUGAGAGGAGUUUCUGCAAGAAUAAUAUGUCAUCACCUAAAGAGGAAAAUGAAGACUGUUUGAAACAAACUCUGAAAAGAGUCGUGUCUUCUUCAUCAGCGCUGAAAAACAUGGGUUCUAUGAACUCCUCUUCAUCCUCCUCCUCCUCCUUCUCCUGGUCACCGUGCUCAUCUACAACCUCCUCCUUCUCAAUCUCAUCAUUGGCACAACAUUCACGGCUCUCCUGACAUUUGGUGAUAAGGUUUGAUGUUGAAUUAUCAAUCAUUAGAACUUCAUCGUCACUAACUUCACUAUCCGUACAUUGACGUCUCUCAUAAAUACGGGAGGAUGUAAUGCAAAAUUGAGUUAAUAUUGAAUGGUCUCCCCUGCCAUCCAUUCUGCCUGCUGUGUGCCGCCUUUCUAAUCUGUGUAUUCGCCUCUGCCCCAGUGAGCUCUCC